This 497-nucleotide ribosomal RNA is filed under the name uncultured bacterium. RNAcentral describes it as "partial 16S ribosomal RNA". It matches the Rfam family "Bacterial small subunit ribosomal RNA", at positions 28 to 507 of the family's 1533-position model. The record is from RNAcentral.
GUUGAACGCUGGCGGCGUGCCUAAUACAUGCAAGUCGAGCGAACAGACGAGGAGCUUGCUCCUCUGACGUUAGCGGCGGACGGGUGAGUAACACGUGGAUAACCUACCUAUGAGACUGGGAUAACUUCGGGAAACCGGAUCUAAUACCGGAUAAUAUAUUGAACCGCAUGGUUCAAUAGUGAAAGACGGUUUUGCUGUCACUUAUAGAUGGAUCCGCGCCGCAUUAGCUAGUUGGUAAGGUAACGGCUUACCAAGGCAACGAUGCGUAGCCGACCUGAGAGGGUGAUCGGCCACACUGGAACUGAGACACGGUCCAGACUCCUACGGGAGGCAGCAGUAGGGAAUCUUCCGCAAUGGGCGCAAGCCUGACGGAGCAACGCCGCGUGAGUGAUGAAGGUCUUCGGAUCGUAAAACUCUGUUAUUAGGGAAGAAAAACUGUGUAAGUAAAUCUGCACGUCUUGACGGUACCUAAUCAGAAAGCCACGGCUAACUACGUG